This is a long non-coding RNA of Sapajus apella (tufted capuchin), 741 nucleotides long. RefSeq lists it as uncharacterized. The record is from RefSeq and is a predicted model, not a curated record. Lineage: Eukaryota; Metazoa; Chordata; Mammalia; Primates; Cebidae. The transcript is spliced from 2 exons.
UACUGGUGCCUCCAAAUAUCCCUGAACAGGGUCAGAGAGACCGGUUCUCUGCUCUUGCCCAAUCCAAGCCUGUCACCCUGGCGCCUGAGCCACAGGCCUAGUUUCCUGUGGGGCUGACCCAGGGUCCCCAGCUCUGGCCUGACUUGCUUCCCUCUCCUGGCCUUCCUAGGGAGUAAAGUCCUCCAAGCAGCAUGAGGGGUGGCUCCGGGAGAGGCAGGAGAGCCUCCACUGCGACAGGUGCCAUCGAACCUCCACUCACUGCGCUACUGUGGGCCCCAGGGCAUUGUGUUCAGGAACUUCUCUCAUGAUUCCCAGAGCACGUCCGAUUUCACAGAUGAGAAAGCUAAGGCCCCAGAAGGGACUGUUGUGCUACCCAACAGGACUGAGACAGCCCAGGGGGGGAUCAGAGCUCGACUAAGUUUGCAAGGUCCCAUACGAGUUCCAGCCUCCUCUUUCUGGCCUGUCAUGACUUUGGACAGAGCUCCAGCCCUUCACAGGCCAUCUUCACCAAGUCUAGUUCCUUGAUAUGCCAGUUAUCUCCAUGGCCCGUUUUUCAGGCCACUCUAACUGCUCUGGUUUGGAGGGAAGAAGGGGGAGGGGUGUACCACCUGACCCAUCCAUCCCUGUGCCCGUCUCCCUCCACACCCAGGUCCCAAAUAACCAGGCCACACACCGAGUUUCAAGUAUCUGUCUCUUCCUUUCACUCUCUCAAAAGAAAAAAUAAAUAAAUUGCAGAAGGCG